Molecule: long non-coding RNA, 261 nt
Organism: Peromyscus californicus insignis
Lineage: Eukaryota; Metazoa; Chordata; Mammalia; Rodentia; Cricetidae
Exons: 3
Source: RefSeq, a predicted model, not a curated record
GAUAGAGUGUGUCUGACCCUAAUGGACCCCAGGAAUCUUCCACAAAAGCUCCUGACUCAUCCAAUAUGGACAAUGAUGCAGAAAAAAAUGUAAUAAUGCAUCAGGAGAGAACAUCUGUCAUGGAAGACCAAGAGCAUGCCUCAGAAGAGGAGAGGCAGCACCGUGCUAGAAAAACUAAGUGGCCAUUUAUUGAUGCUAUAAGAGCAUGCUUUUGUGCAUGUUUCACAAAAAAACGGAGCUCUUCUUCCCACUACAAGAAAU